ACCUCGUUAGCUCAGUGGAUCAGAGCGCCUGCCUACGAAGCAGGAGGUCGCACGUUCGAGUCGUGCACGAGGUGCCA
This 77-nucleotide transfer RNA is filed under the name Piscinibacter sp. HJYY11. RNAcentral describes it as "tRNA-Arg". It matches the Rfam family "tRNA". From Rfam's summary of the family: Transfer RNA (tRNA) molecules are approximately 80 nucleotides in length. Their secondary structure includes four short double-helical elements and three loops (D, anti-codon, and T loops). Further hydrogen bonds mediate the characteristic L-shaped molecular structure. tRNAs have two regions of fundamental functional importance: the anti-codon, which is responsible for specific mRNA codon recognition, and the 3' end, to which the tRNAs corresponding amino acid is attached (by aminoacyl-tRNA synthetases). tRNAs cope with the degeneracy of the genetic code in two manners: having more than one tRNA (with a specific anti-codon) for a particular amino acid; and 'wobble' base-pairing, i.e. permitting non-standard base-pairing at the 3rd anti-codon position. The record is from RNAcentral. Lineage: Bacteria; Pseudomonadati; Pseudomonadota; Betaproteobacteria; Burkholderiales; Sphaerotilaceae.